CCCUUAGAUGUUCUGGGCCGCACGCGCGCUACACUGAUGCAUUCAACGAGUCUAAAACCUGGUCUGAUAGGGCCGGGUAAUCUUUUGAAAGUGCAUCGUGAUUGGGAUAGAUGAUUGCAAUUCUUCAUCUUCAACGAGGAAUGCCUAGUAAACGCAAGUCAUCAGCUUGCAUUGAUUACGUCCCUGCCCUUUGUACACACCGCCCGUCGCUCCUACCGAUUGAAUGAUCCGAUGAAUACCAUGGAUUGAGAGUACGAAUAGGUUCGCUUAUUUCUGCUGCUCGAGAAGUGGAGUAAAUCUUAUCAUUUAGAGGAAGGAGAANUCGUANCA
This 330-nucleotide ribosomal RNA is filed under the name uncultured eukaryote. RNAcentral describes it as "partial 18S ribosomal RNA". It matches the Rfam family "Eukaryotic small subunit ribosomal RNA", at positions 1470 to 1796 of the family's 1831-position model. The record is from RNAcentral.